CUACGGGAUGCACCAGUGAGGAAUAUUGCGCAAUGGACGAAAGUCUGACGCAGCCAUGCCGCGUGCAGGAUGACGGCCCUAUGGGUUGUAAACUGCUUUUGUAUGGGAAUAAACCCUUCUACGUGUAGAAGGCUGAAGGUACCAUAAGAAUAAGCACCGGCUAACUCCGUGCCAGCAGCCGCGGUAAUACGGAGGGUGCAAGCGUUAUCCGGAUUUAUUGGGUUUAAAGGGUCCGUAGGCGGGCCGAUAAGUCAGUGGUGAAAGCCCAUAGCUCAACUAUGGAACUGCCAUUGAUACUGUCGGUCUUGAGUAUAUGUGAUGUUGGCGGAAUGUGUAGUGUAGCGGUGAAAUGCUUAGAUAUUACACAGAACACCGAUUGCGAAGGCAGCUGACCAAUAUAUAACUGACGCUGAGGGACGAAAGUGUGGGGAUCAAACAGGAUUAGAUACCCUCGUAGUC
RNAcentral lists this ribosomal RNA (459 nucleotides) under uncultured bacterium. Its description in RNAcentral is "partial 16S ribosomal RNA". It matches the Rfam family "Bacterial small subunit ribosomal RNA", at positions 339 to 795 of the family's 1533-position model. The record is from RNAcentral.